Molecule: ribosomal RNA, 127 nt
Filed under: uncultured Chloroflexota bacterium
Lineage: Bacteria; Bacillati; Chloroflexota
Description: uncultured Chloroflexi bacterium partial 16S ribosomal RNA
Rfam family: Bacterial small subunit ribosomal RNA
Source: RNAcentral
CUGACCAGCGACGCCGCGUGGGGGAAGAAGGCCUUCGGGUCGUAAACCCCUUUUGCCGGGGAAGAAGCUCUGACGGUACCCGGCGAAUAAGCCACGGCUAACUACGUGCCAGCAGCCGCGGUAAUAA